Molecule: ribosomal RNA, 496 nt
Filed under: uncultured bacterium
Lineage: Bacteria
Description: bacterial SSU rRNA
Rfam family: Bacterial small subunit ribosomal RNA
Source: RNAcentral
GAUCAUGGCUCAGGACGAACGCUGGCGGCGUGCCUAACACAUGCAAGUCGAACGGAACUUCUUUAAAGGAUUUCUUCGGAAUGAAUUUGAUUAAGUUUAGUGGCGGACGGGUGAGUAACGCGUGAGUAACCUGCCUCUAAGAGGGGAAUAACAUUCUGAAAAGAAUGCUAAUACCGCAUAAUAUAUAUUUAUCGCAUGGUAGAUAUAUCAAAGAUUUAUCGCUUAGAGAUGGACUCGCGUCCGAUUAGUUAGUUGGUGAGGUAACGGCUCACCAAGACCGCGAUCGGUAGCCGGACUGAGAGGUUGAACGGCCACAUUGGGACUGAGACACGGCCCAGACUCCUACGGGAGGCAGCAGUGGGGGAUAUUGCGCAAUGGGGGAAACCCUGACGCAGCAACGCCGCGUGAAGGAUGAAGGUCUUCGGAUUGUAAACUUCUUUUAUUAAGGACGAAGAAAGUGACGGUACUUAAUGAAUAAGCUCCGGCUAACUACGUG